Molecule: ribosomal RNA, 263 nt
Filed under: uncultured bacterium
Lineage: Bacteria
Description: partial 16S ribosomal RNA
Rfam family: Bacterial small subunit ribosomal RNA
Source: RNAcentral
UACGGAGGGUGCAAGCGUUAUCCGGAAUCACUGGGCGUAAAGGGCGCGUAGGUGGUCUGUUAAGUCUGGCGUUAAAGCCUGGGGCUCAACCCCAGAUCAGCGUUGGAUACUGGCAGGCUAGACGGUUGGAGAGGCGAGUGGAAUUACCAGUGUAGCGGUGGAAUGCGUAGAUACUGGUAGGAACACCCAUUGCGAAGGCAGCUCGCUGGACAACACGUGACACUGAGGCGCGAAAGUGUGGGGAGCAAACCGGAUUAGAUACC